This is a small nuclear RNA of Phacochoerus africanus (Common warthog), 107 nucleotides long. NCBI's taxonomy places the organism in Eukaryota, Metazoa, Chordata, Mammalia, Artiodactyla, Suidae. The record is from RefSeq and is a predicted model, not a curated record.
AUUCUUACUUUAGCAUCAUAUAUACUAAAAUUGGAAUGAUACGGAGAAGAUUUGCAUGACCUCUGCACAAAGAUGACACACAAAUUUGUGAAGUGUUCCAUAUUUUU